GCUUCUCUGAUGUUAGCGGCGGACGGGUGAGUAACACGUGGAUAACCUACCUAUAAGACUGGGAUAACUUCGGGAAACCGGAGCUAAUACCGGAUAAUAUUUUGAACCGCAUGGUUCAAAAGUGAAAGACGGUCUUGCUGUCACUUAUAGAUGGAUCCGCGCUGCAUUAGCUAGUUGGUAAGGUAACGGCUUACCAAGGCAACGAUGCAUAGCCGACCUGAGAGGGUGAUCGGCCACACUGGAACUGAGACACGGUCCAGACUCCUACGGGAGGCAGCAGUAGGGAAUCUUCCGCAAUGGGCGAAAGCCUGACGGAGCAACGCCGCGUGAGUGAUGAAGGUCUUCGGAUCGUAAAACUCUGUUAUUAGGGAAGAACAUAUGUGUAAGUAACUGUGCACAUCUUGACGGUACCUAAUCAGAAAGCCACGGCUAACUACGUGCCAGCAGCCGCGGUAAUACGUAGGUGGCAAGCGUUAUCCGGAAUUAUUGGGCGUAAAGCGCGCGUAGGCGGUUUUUUAAGUCUGAUGUGAAAGCCCACGGCUCAACCGUGGAGGGUCAUUGGAAACUGGAAAACUUGAGUGCAGAAGAGGAAAGUGGAAUUCCAUGUGUAGCGGUGAAAUGCGCAGAGAUAUGGAGGAACACCAGUGGCGAAGGCGACUUUCUGGUCUGUAACUGACGCUGAUGUGCGAAAGCGUGGGGAUCAAACAGGAUUAGAUACCCUGGUAGUCCACGCCGUAAACGAUGAGUGCUAAGUGUUAGGGGGUUUCCGCCCCUUAGUGCUGCAGCUAACGCAUUAAGCACUCCGCCUGGGGAGUACGACCGCAAGGUUGAAACUCAAAGGAAUUGACGGGGACCCGCACAAGCGGUGGAGCAUGUGGUUUAAUUCGAAGCAACGCGAAGAACCUUACCAAAUCUUGACAUCCUUUGACAACUCUAGAGAUAGAGCCUUCCCCUUCGGGGGACAAAGUGACAGGUGGUGCAUGGUUGUCGUCAGCUCGUGUCGUGAGAUGUUGGGUUAAGUCCCGCAACGAGCGCAACCCUUAAGCUUAGUUGCCAUCAUUAAGUUGGGCACUCUAAGUUGACUGCCGGUGACAAACCGGAGGAAGGUGGGGAUGACGUCAAAUCAUCAUGCCCCUUAUGAUUUGGGCUACACACGUGCUACAAUGGACAAUACAAAGGGCAGCGAAACCGCGAGGUCAAGCAAAUCCCAUAAAGUUGUUCUCAGUUCGGAUUGUAGUCUGCAACUCGACUACAUGAAGCUGGAAUCGCUAGUAAUCGUAGAUCAGCAUGCUACGGUGAAUACGUUCCCGGGUCUUGUACACACCGCCCGUCACACCACGAGAGUUUGUAACACCCGAAGCCGGUGGAGUAACCUUUUAGGAGCUAGCCGUCGAAGGUGGGACAAAUGAUUGGGGUGAAGUCGUAACAAGGUAGCCGUAUCGGAAGGUGCGGCUGGAUCACCU
RNAcentral lists this ribosomal RNA (1463 nucleotides) under Staphylococcus aureus T39093. RNAcentral's name for it is "bacterial SSU rRNA". It matches the Rfam family "Bacterial small subunit ribosomal RNA". The record is from RNAcentral. Lineage: Bacteria; Bacillati; Bacillota; Bacilli; Caryophanales; Staphylococcaceae. RNAcentral also lists the same sequence under 2 other names.